CUUGAGCGACCCGAGCCGCAGCGGCGUGCCCGCGCGGUCGCGGCCGUAGGUUGCCAGUAGGGCCUGCGCCUC
RNAcentral lists this antisense RNA (72 nucleotides) under Actinokineospora bangkokensis. Its description in RNAcentral is "ASpks TB sRNA". It matches the Rfam family "ASpks TB sRNA". Lineage: Bacteria; Bacillati; Actinomycetota; Actinomycetes; Pseudonocardiales; Pseudonocardiaceae. The record is from Rfam by way of RNAcentral.